Molecule: ribosomal RNA, 446 nt
Filed under: uncultured bacterium
Lineage: Bacteria
Description: partial 16S ribosomal RNA
Rfam family: Bacterial small subunit ribosomal RNA
Source: RNAcentral
CCUACGGGGUGCUGCAGUCGAGAAUCAUUCACAAUGGGGGAAACCCUGAUGGUGCGACGCAGCGUGGGGGAAUGAAGGUCUUCGGAUUGUAAACCCCUGUCAUGUGGGAGCAAAAUAAAAAGAUAGUACGACACGAGGAAGAAACGGCUAACUAUGUGCCAGCAGCCGCGGUAAUACAGAGGUCUCAAGCGUGGUUCGGAAUCACUGGGCGUAAAGGGUGCGUAGGGUGUUUCGUAAGUCGUGUUUGAAAGGCGCGGGCUCAACCCGCGGACGGCACAUGUUACUGCGAGACUAGAGUACUGUAGGGGGAACCGGAAUUCUCGGUGUAGCAGUGAAAUGCGUAGAUAUCGAGAGGAACACUCGUGGCGAAGGCGGGUUCCUGGACAUUAACUGACGCUGAGGCACGAAGGCCAGGGGAGCGAAAGGGAUUAGAUACCCCGGUAGUC